AACGAACGCUGGCGGCAGGCUUAACACAUGCAAGUCGAGCGCCCCGCAAGGGGAGCGGCAGACGGGUGAGUAACGCGUGGGAAUCUACCGUGCCCUACGGAGUAACGCAUGGAAACGUGUGCUAAUACCGUAUACGCCCUACGGGGGAAAGAUUUAUCGGGGUAUGAUGAGCCCGCGUUGGAUUAGCUAGUUGGUGGGGUAAAGGCCUACCAAGGCGACGAUCCAUAGCUGGUCUGAGAGGAUGAUCAGCCACAUUGGGACUGAGACACGGCCCAAACUCCUACGGGAGGCAGCAGUGGGGAAUAUUGGACAAUGGGCGCAAGCCUGAUCCAGCCAUGCCGCGUGAGUGAUGAAGGUCUUAGGAUUGUAAAGCUCUUUCACCGGUGAAGAUAAUGACGGUAACCGGAGAAGAAGCCCCGGCUAACUUCGUGCCAGCAGCCGCCGCAG
Molecule: ribosomal RNA, 447 nt
Filed under: uncultured bacterium
Lineage: Bacteria
Description: partial 16S ribosomal RNA
Rfam family: Bacterial small subunit ribosomal RNA
Source: RNAcentral